GGCCGGGAACUCAAAGGAGACUGCCAGUGAUAAACUGGAGGAAGGUGGGGAUGACGUCAAGUCAUCAUGGCCCUUACGACCAGGGCUACACACGUGCUACAAUGGCAUAUACAAAGAGAAGCGACCUCGCGAGAGCAAGCGGACCUCAUAAAGUAUGUCGUAGUCCGGAUUGGAGUCUGCAACUCGACUCCAUGAAGUCGGAAUCGCUAGUAAUCGUAGAUCAGAAUGCUACGGUGAAUACGUUCCCGGGCCUUGUACACACCGCCCGUCACACCAUGGGAGUGGGUUGCAAAAGAAGUAGGUAGCUUAACCUUCGGGAGGGCGCUUACCACUUUGUGAUUCAUGACUGGGGUGAAGUCGUAACAAGGUAACCGUAGGGGAACCU
Molecule: ribosomal RNA, 385 nt
Filed under: Klebsiella pneumoniae
Lineage: Bacteria; Pseudomonadati; Pseudomonadota; Gammaproteobacteria; Enterobacterales; Enterobacteriaceae
Description: bacterial SSU rRNA
Rfam family: Bacterial small subunit ribosomal RNA
Source: RNAcentral